CCAGGGGAGAGCUACCAGUUAUACUGCCUAUUUCAUAUUUCUCGACAGUAGGAGCAAUGAAGCUGCAGACAACAGAUGUCAGUCCAAAACUAAAAUGUAUUCUUGGUAUUGUCACAGAUAGAGGCAGACAAUUAGUUGCUGCUCCUUCCUGUAGUGUUUGUUGGUCAUUUUUUGUAACAUUUGCACACAUUUGAUGCUAUCAGUAUUUGCAGCAUAAUUCAGUAUAAGAGUUGCUGGAAUUUUCCUUUAGCUGCAUUGAGUGCUUGUGUGUAUCUACUUAUUAACAAACUAAUGAGGCUGCAAAAAAGCGGAAGGAAGUUGUAGUACUUUUAGUGAUUAAUUCGCACAGAGUGAGUCACUCGCAGAGAGUGAUUUGUUUGCAGUGAGUGAUUAGCUCGCAGAGUGAUUCGUGAGUGCAAUAUGAACGAAUCUUUCAUAUGACUCCUGAGUCGAGUCAUAUGAAAGAUUCGUUCAAAUUGAACGUAUAACUCGCGAAGGACACACAUGAUCACUGCACGCUAGUGUCAGUGCAGGUGUUGAUGAAGCUGUCAGUGACCUGGUGUCGUGCAGGACGCUCGUGAUUGGAUAACGAGGCACAUCCGUGCCAUUUAAAAGCAGAAGGAAGUUGUAAUACAGCCCUGUGAUAGUUGCAAAAUGGCACUGUGUGAAGGCACAGAGGAAAAAGUUUGCUAUUAUUACGACGGUACGUAUUUCUAUCUUUGAUUCUCUUCACUUUGGCCUUCAGGUGUAGCCGCAGACCUACAUCGCUAUCAACUGGGCCGGUGGACUCAGUGAUGCCAAGAAGUUCAAAGCAUCUGGUUUCUGUUACAUGAAUGACAUCCUGCUGGCCAUUUUUGAGUUGCUUAAGACAUCGGGGCUGGAAAGAGCAAUGACUACACAGUGAAUUACCCACGAUGCCAUCUUUAAACAGGCCUAAAGAUGUUUCAUGAAGUUGUUCCACACCUGAUGAUGGGACCGUUGUUGAAUCCUGUGAGCACACGUGGUGGUGAGUAUGUGAUCUGUCCAUCUUUACCUGAAGUGUUAGAUAAAGCUG
Long non-coding RNA from Cynoglossus semilaevis (tongue sole), 1054 nucleotides. RefSeq lists it as uncharacterized. The transcript has 3 exons. NCBI's taxonomy places the organism in Eukaryota, Metazoa, Chordata, Actinopteri, Pleuronectiformes, Cynoglossidae. The record is from RefSeq and is a predicted model, not a curated record.